RNAcentral lists this ribosomal RNA (353 nucleotides) under Pseudo-nitzschia delicatissima. RNAcentral's name for it is "eukaryotic LSU rRNA". The record is from RNAcentral. Lineage: Eukaryota; Bacillariophyta; Bacillariophyceae; Bacillariales; Bacillariaceae.
GAUCCCCCUCAGCACUGGUGUAGUGUAUUCGUAUUCUAUACCGGUAGCUGGUUGCUUUGGCCUUGACUGCCUCUGGUUGUCUUUGCUUAAAUUCUACAACACGUACGUGCAUAGAUCUAGAAAAGUCUUAGCCCGUUCUGAAGACGGCGUUGACAUUCUCAUCUAUCUCUGGUAGCUUGUCUCUGGAGUUUUUCUGAGUUUGUGAUCAGCUGUGUUGAAGGACUACUGAGUCUGUCUCUAAGUCUAGCUUGCGGUUAGUAUAGUAUAUUGUACUAGCUGCUUGCUAUCCAAUUCCGGAUCCUCAGAUCAAGCAAGAUGACCCGCCGAAUUUAAGCAUAUCAAUAAGCGGAGGA